RNAcentral lists this ribosomal RNA (463 nucleotides) under Vreelandella stevensii. Its description in RNAcentral is "partial 16S ribosomal RNA". It matches the Rfam family "Bacterial small subunit ribosomal RNA", at positions 338 to 794 of the family's 1533-position model. Lineage: Bacteria; Pseudomonadati; Pseudomonadota; Gammaproteobacteria; Oceanospirillales; Halomonadaceae. The record is from RNAcentral.
CCUAGGGUGGCUGCAGUGGGGAAUAUUGGACAAUGGGCGAAAGCCUGAUCCAGCCAUGCCGCGUGUGUGAAGAAGGCCUUCGGGUUGUAAAGCACUUUCAGUGGGGAAGAAAGCCUUGGGGCUAAUACCCUCGAGGAAGGACAUCACCCACAGAAGAAGCACCGGCUAACUCCGUGCCAGCAGCCGCGGUAAUACGGAGGGUGCGAGCGUUAAUCGGAAUUACUGGGCGUAAAGCGCGCGUAGGCGGUCUGAUAAGCCGGUUGUGAAAGCCCCGGGCUCAACCUGGGAACGGCAUCCGGAACUGUCAGGCUAGAGUGCAGGAGAGGAAGGUAGAAUUCCCGGUGUAGCGGUGAAAUGCGUAGAGAUCGGGAGGAAUACCAGUGGCGAAGGCGGCCUUCUGGACUGACACUGACGCUGAGGUGCGAAAGCGUGGGUAGCAAACAGGAUUAGAUACCCUAGUAGU